CGACGGUAGCAGAGCCGCGAAAGGGCUCGAGUAACCUCCUGCAGGAGGAUAGCUUCCGCUGUAAGCUGGAGGAGCGCCUCCAACACCGUGUGCCUGCUGCUUGUCCUUUGGCGGCUUCUCCCCAGGAGGGGCACCGUAGGGAGCGGAAGGUGCGCCGUACGGUGCAGCGGCGUAUGGGACACCGUAGGGUUGAGGAGGCGGGGGGGCGCCGGCGGUGUAUGGAGCGGCUGAGUAGGGCUGAGCCGGAGGGGCGCCGUAGCCGUAGCCGGGAGGGUGUUGAGGGUAUCCACCGGACAUGUUUAGAACAAUUUUCUGGUACAAAAGAGUUUUUAC
RNAcentral lists this long non-coding RNA (333 nucleotides) under Theobroma cacao (cacao). Its description in RNAcentral is "long non-coding RNA (TCAC_LNC003384)". Lineage: Eukaryota; Viridiplantae; Streptophyta; Magnoliopsida; Malvales; Malvaceae. The record is from RNAcentral.